RNAcentral lists this ribosomal RNA (473 nucleotides) under uncultured bacterium. RNAcentral's name for it is "SSU rRNA". It matches the Rfam family "Bacterial small subunit ribosomal RNA", at positions 26 to 518 of the family's 1533-position model. The record is from RNAcentral.
AGGAUAAACGCUGGCGGCGUGCCUAAUGCAUGCAAGUCGCACGGAGUACUCUUUCGGGGGUACUGAGUGGCGAACGGGUGAGGAACGCGUGGAGAACCUACCCCGGCGUGGGGGAUACCCGCCAGAAAUGGCGGCUAAUACCGCGUACGGUCCAGGGGCGGAAGGCUCUCUGGAAGAAAGCAGUAAUGCGCGCUGGGAGGGGUCUGCGCCCGAUUAGCUAGUUGGUGGGGUAAUGGCCCACCAAGACUCCGAUGGGUAGCUGGCUUGAGAGAGCGACCAGCCACACUGGAACUGAGACACGGUCCAGACUCCUACGGGAGGCAGCAGUGAGGAAUUUUCCGCAAUGGGCGCAAGCCUGACGGAGCGACGCCGCGUGUGGGAAGAAGGCCUUCGGGUCGUAAACCACUGUCGAAGGGGACGAUAUUGACGGUACCCUUGGAGGAAGCCCCGGCUAACUACGUGCCAGCAGCCGC